Molecule: long non-coding RNA, 356 nt
Filed under: Mytilus galloprovincialis (Mediterranean mussel)
Lineage: Eukaryota; Metazoa; Mollusca; Bivalvia; Mytilida; Mytilidae
Source: RNAcentral
GUUUAUUUGAAUCUUUACGAAUAUUGCCGCAUAAAACGUUAUCAAAAAUUGAUUCAAUUUAAAUUCUGUAAACUUUCCGAAUUACGAAUCUGAAUUUUAUUUUCAAUUAGUUCAUACAUUUUAAUUGUCAUCGCGUAUUAAAUCUUAAUGUAUUAGAUAUGGCACACACUCUCUGUUCAUCCAUCCCAAAUAACAACACUCAUACCUGUGUACGCUUGAAUUCACACCUGCGGCUAAAUUGCUACAAGGUAAACGAAUUGACAUGAAGCCGAGAAAUAUACAGUGACCGUUACAAAAUAAUUAACACACUCUGCUCACACAUAAGUUGCAUUGAAAUGAUUACCAAAAUAAUAACG